RNAcentral lists this non-coding RNA (32 nucleotides) under Geobacter sulfurreducens PCA. The record is from RNAcentral. Lineage: Bacteria; Pseudomonadati; Thermodesulfobacteriota; Desulfuromonadia; Geobacterales; Geobacteraceae.
AUAUGGGGAACUAAGUGGAACGCCUGUGAGUC